Molecule: long non-coding RNA, 1515 nt
Filed under: Citrus maxima (pomelo)
Lineage: Eukaryota; Viridiplantae; Streptophyta; Magnoliopsida; Sapindales; Rutaceae
Description: long non-coding RNA (CMAX_LNC003940)
Source: RNAcentral
GUGACUGUUAUGUUAAAGGAGUUUGACGAAAAAGAAAGGAGAUGAUGGUCGAAAGAAGCCCCUGGCAAAAGGCCAAAUGGAUGAAGGAAUCGAUUCCCAGAGGUGAUUCCUUCAUCGGAGAAAGAAAAAAUUGGCGAGUCGAAGCUUGAGACAUUUUGUGAAGAGGGCUGAAGCGAAUGCUCUACUGUCACACACUUUUGGCUGGAUUCGUCGGAGAUUGCAAAAAAGGACUGAAAAGUUUUAUCUUUUAUCAAUUAUCACUCAUCCACUCUCUUCUGAUCUGUAUCUAGGGUUUCUCUGUUUUUCCCCCCUCAUUUUCUCCUCUUUUUCUUUCUCUCUUAUUCUAAAUCACAAUCCCCAUAUCUAUUCAAAUUUCAAUAUUCCAUUUUUCAACUCAAAUCAACUCGCCGGGUCUACACAGCCCACCAAGUGAGUCACUCUCAUUCUCUUUUUUUCUUUCAAACAAAUCAUUUCACCCUGUUGUUUUUGUUUUUCUUUUGGGUAGUUGUAGUUGUUGAUUUUCUUUUAAUUUUUAUUUUUCUGGUUAAAAUAAAAGUCUUUUUGUUUGGUUUUGAUUUAGUCCACGACUUGGUCAAACCAAACACUUGACGAUCACGAACCAUGAAGAUGAUUUCUUCCUACACGAGCCCCGGUUAGCUUCCGAAGAGAAAAUCUAUUCGAUCAAAUUUAUAUAUUAGCAGAAUAUAUAAAUUACCACCAACACAAUAAUGAAUGAACGAGGGCAUUUAGCUUGGCCAAUCUUAUCUCUCUCUAUUCUUAGCAACACCAAAUGAGAUUUUUAGAAUUUCUGGUCGGCUUCUGCAAAAUAGUAUCCUCUUCUCUCUUUAUGCUUUUUAUUUUAUUUAUUCUCUUUGUAUGAAUUUAUGUUGUUGGUUUGGGCGAAAAUCGAAGUCGAGUACAAUCGAUCUAAUUAUUGUUACUAGAUUCGCGAAGUAUUUUAACUUGAUAAUAAGAAAACAGAGAUUUUGAAUCUGUUGUUGGAGCUUUUAUAAUUUAGAUGUGUUUAGUUAAUUGAGAAAGAACAGAUAAAGAACAAAUGGAUGGAAGGCAAACGAGAAAGAGCGAGAUUUAGAGAUAACAAUAAAUCUGCGGAGAAGGCAAAAACCAAUAAGAAAUCGAGAAAAAAUGAAUGACUCAAAUGAGAAACAAGAAGAUAAAAGAAGGGCAACGAUAACAACAUAGUCAGUGCAAAUGAACUCUCAAACGAUGGAGGUAUUUGCAGCAGCGGAUUUAGCGGCAAUCAAAAUGGAAAAUAGAGACUGGGUCUGCGAAUUCGGAGAAUUGAAUUGAGGGUUUAAGUGAUUCGAUCAGCACAAGAAUUACAACCGGCCACAACGGUUGUAAGUAGCUGGAUCAAUUAUGUAAUAAUUAAUUUCAGCAAUUAGAUCUGAUAAGGAGGCAUCCAACGGCUUUGUUGAAUAAAAACAAAACUGUUGCACCGUACAAUAGUUGUAACAUAGGCGGACCCCCCAACAUGUAUAUAAUAUCUAAUCC